AUUCUCCUCCAUGCUGCUGCGAGAGCCCAGGAUGGGAUAUACCAAAGCCUGCAUGUCCACGGGAGGGUCCUCGUCCGGAGGUCAGUCCAAUUGCGUUCCAAUUCAUGGUGUGGAAGGGGACAGAAGUCAGGUAACACAAUGUCUUGGGA
Molecule: non-coding RNA, 149 nt
Organism: Notechis scutatus (mainland tiger snake)
Lineage: Eukaryota; Metazoa; Chordata; Lepidosauria; Squamata; Elapidae
Source: RefSeq, a predicted model, not a curated record